CCAGCAGCCGCGGUAACUCCAGCUCCAAUAGCGUAUAUUAAAGUUGCUGCAGUUAAAAAGCUCGUAGUUGGAUCUCGGUACCACUGUUGCUCGUCAGCCCUCUGGCAGUUGGUUAUGCGCGCAUGGGCACGACCUGUGUUGCGGUGACUUGACUGCCAGAGUUGGCGAAGUGAUGGUGUCACCUUUCAGCCAUGUCUGUGGUGAAAUACCCUCAGGUGUAGGCGAGUGUCGGAUGGUGCCUAGCGUAAGUUGGGUCCGUCGGCUCGUUUGCAUGCCUUUGGAUGCCCUUCAAAAGGUGUCUGUGGGCGGACGGCACGUUUACUUUGAACAAAUUUGAGUGCUCAAACCAGGCCGAUGUUGCCUGAAAAGUUUUGCAUGGAAUAAUGGAAUAGGACUUCGGUUCUAUUUCGUUGGUUUUCGGAUCCGAAGUAAUGAUCAAAAGAGACAGGCGGGGG
RNAcentral lists this ribosomal RNA (455 nucleotides) under Proteocephalus pirarara. RNAcentral describes it as "SSU rRNA". It matches the Rfam family "Eukaryotic small subunit ribosomal RNA", at positions 567 to 888 of the family's 1831-position model. The record is from RNAcentral. Lineage: Eukaryota; Metazoa; Platyhelminthes; Cestoda; Proteocephalidea; Proteocephalidae.